Molecule: long non-coding RNA, 3997 nt
Filed under: Triticum aestivum (bread wheat)
Lineage: Eukaryota; Viridiplantae; Streptophyta; Magnoliopsida; Poales; Poaceae
Description: long non-coding RNA (TAES_LNC015212)
Source: RNAcentral
UUAAUUUUGGCUAGGUAGAUGGGCCAAGCCCAACAAUUAAGCCUUCUCAUUUUUGGGCCUAGGCCUUUUAUUUUCUUGGCCUUCAGCUUUUCACAAUUGAUUUUUAAGUGAUUUUGUUCAUUUUCCUGAAUUGUUUGAUUUGUGCCUUUUUAGGGCCCAAAUAGUAUUUGUUUCAUUUUGAUGUAUCAGCAAUUAAUGAUCUGAUCCUCAAAAAACAAUAAAUAAUCAACAUUUCCAAUAUUUCAGUCACACAAAUUUUCAUAAAUGGCGACCAAUAUGAGUAUAUUAUAUAUAUUAAAAUCAUGUGCUAGUUCACAUCAUCCAGGAAUUUAGAACACCCAGGAAGUGUAAACACCCAGGAACAUCCAGAAACAUCUCUGAAGUAAACACCCAGUAACACCCAGGAACAUCUAUGAAGUAAACACCCAGGAACAUAAAACACCCAAGAAGAUAAAACUAGCUACAAAGAUGAAGUGUUCCCUUCUUCGAACUUCUUCAUCCUAGAGCUCCUGUAGAAGAGAGGAAAUUAUGUUAUCAUGGCUGCCAAUGAAAGCAAUAUCUUCUAGCAUAAACAAGUAGGAAAAGAAUAAUGAACAGAAUAAUAAACAGAUACACAAGCAGCUAGGAGUAUGGAUAACAAAAUAAUGAAGUAUGGAUAACCAUAGCAACACUAGUAUACUAUUGCUGAGGCAUUAGUAUAAUGAACAGAACUUCCUGAAGUAUACUACUGCUACUGCUAAGUUUGCAUCAGUUUAGAGAUCUUAUAGAAUAAUUUGUUUAUGCCUGGAAUGCAUCAGCUUGCAUCAGUUUGUACAAUACUAGAAAGGGCAUAUAAAACAACAGAAUUGCAUAGGGCAAAUAAAACGCAUUAACCUGCUGUUGCUCUACACUUCAACAUGGAUAAUAAAUCUAACAUCGAUGGUUGGCAUCAUCCUUGCGUUGGCUAGUUAAAACUAAGAACAGCAGAGCAGAUAUGUGUAUUACGCAGACAAAUAGGGGUGCUCCUGUUGGGUUGCAACAUGAAAGAGCCAUGUUUAUUACUGCUAAAAAAUACUUAGCAACCUCAACAAAUUAUUAUCAAAGGAAUGGUAACAAAUCUAAGGGUUUAUUUUUGGCAAACUAUCCAAGGUUGAGAAAUGAAAAAAUGCAAAAAAACGUCGAUCUGCUGUAGUUGUUUAACCAUCACCACACUAACGAACAUGUGUUCAAGAGAGUCGUUUGAUCCAAAGAAUUGAAGACAAAUAAAUGAAAGAGAAAAUUUUCAAUUCUAUUCAAAAGUAUAGUACAAGCUAUAUCUGACUUCUGAUGAAAUGCAUAGGUCCAGCCGAUGACUACACAUCAGCAGCUACUUCAGACAUUGGCUGGAGAAAUGCUUAUCUUUUUUAUUCUUCAAUGACGUAAAAAGAAAUGACAACACAUCACCAACAACAGUAGACUCUCACAGCCAACUAAUAUACUAGGACUACAUCAACCAAGCAUUAGUUUUAAAAAAGCUCGGUUUAAGAUACUUCAACGACGUAAAUCCCAGUAGCAUCUCCUUGUAACAUCAUAUGCUCAGCUGACAAACGAUUCACAUGCAACUCCUCUACAUUAUAUCAAACCAACACAGAGAGCUGCAUCUCUAGAUGAGGAACAAAAAAACGUUGAUAGCAUGCUAGGCAUCAGUUUUAAAAAGCUCAAUUUUAGAUCAUCAAAGACCGGAAAGGCCACAUCGGUCUAAAUGUUUCACAUCCUAUGCCCAGCACAACAUCAUCAUCGUCACGGAAAUUCCCUAAACAGUCUGACUUCUCAAAUGGCAGAUUCACCUUCCGAACCAUGUAGGAGAAAAACAUCAAGACCAUGGAAUCAACAGGUAAUUGUACCUUGAGCAGCAGAGCAUGCGCCUCAGACGAUCACGGGAGCACGAUCCCGCCGCAUUGCCUUGCUGCUGGCCUCUUCGGCGCUUCACCAUUGGCCAGAGGAGGAGCAGCCAGAGAGUCCAAGACUGUAAAUGCCAAAGAGAGCAGCGAGUAAAAUGAACUGGAUUUUUCUGCCGCUAAAUGAAUGCUAUAUACCUAUGCUGCUACUAAAUGGUGUUUGUGCAUAACUAAAUUUUGCAGUUGGCACUGAAAGUUGACAGACAACUAUUGCACUAAACUUUGCUGCUACUAGUAUGUGACUUUCAAAUGAGCUUAUGUAAAAACAUUGCUUGCGCAUGUCCAACUAGAAAGGACACGGCAGAUACAACUAUGUGAGCUAGCCUGAUAGGUAGUUCAAGCAACUUGAUUCAGUGAACUGGGAAUGAUCUAAGACGGACAAUAAGAAUGGAAAGCAAACAUUGAACCCCACGUUGAUCUGAAACUUUGGGAUUCAAGCAAGAAGUCGCAAACGUGCAACCAAAAUGCUCCUGUCAACAUUAUUAUUCAAGGUAACAUGCCAUCAGCAUCAGGAACACUGCUCAAUGAUUUGUAUGUGGCAUAGACAUGAUCCAGUUAUCAUGAUACAAUGACCAUCUUGUAAAAUGAAAGGCAUGUGCUGCUCAUUACAAUUAUUUUAAGCUGAGUGUUUCUUUCUUCUCUUUUAUUUAUGCAAGCGGAGAUGUAGCAGGCAGGGAGGCAGGGAGCCAUCACAUAUGCAUGUAUGUAUGAAGCAGAACAUGAAAAGAGCAACAUAUAAUUAACUUGAUUGACAUGACAUGGCAGGGUGUUUUUGUAGCCGAUGCCAAACAGCACCAUCGCCACCACCGUUGCAUGGAAGCAUCAAAAAAGAGGAGCCUGGCACGAUGAACCCCUUGUACAGAAUCAAAUCCUGCUGCACAAGGACAAGAGAAAUAAGAAGAUAAUACGAAAGCUGUUAAACAAAAUCAUAGGAUGCCAUCACGUAGUCCAGACAAAUUGAACACACACACACACACACACACACACACACACACACACACACACACACACACACACAUAUAUAUAUAUAUAUGUAUGCAUGCAUGCUUCUCAAAGUUUAAUUCCAUAGAAUUAAAGUGCUUCCGAUAGUAACCAAAUUAUUUUAAUACUCAGCCAUCCAGUACCACAUAGGAAGCAAAUCCUAAAAUAAAAAUGCACUUCUGAACAGAGCGACACACUACAAGAACUUACCAACAGGUUUGAACAAUGGAUGACAUACAGUACAAGAAAAAGAGCAGGAGAAUGGAUUCUGAUAGACUACACAAGAUGAUUGCAAUGACUAGGCUACAAGUUAAUACAAUUAACACAAGUUAAUGCAAGCCUGAUGUACUACUCAGGCUAAGAAGAAGCAGGUACAGUAGUAGUUUUAGCACACUAGUACAUGUGUUAAAAUGGAAGCAUCGCUGCUGGGUUAUAUUAAUAAAUAAUCCAAGUGUUGCAAUAGCCAACAAAAUAAAAAAUCUAUACACAUGCAUAGACCACAACACAUUUACCGACAUUGAUGGACUGGACAAACCUAACACAUACUUAUCAUACUAAUACAAUACAAGAUAAUGCAUUAGAGUGUCUGGAUUUGCAUGAACAAGAUGACCAGUUUCACAUCGGAUUUGCUUGAACAUGUAAAGUAUGUAUUAGUGUAAAGCCUAUCAAGUAUUCGAAUUGUGCUGCAGUUUAGUUGAGUUGCAAGUAGAACUACAGUGAAGAUGCUAUUCUAACUUCUGUGACUGAAGAAAAAUACACACCGUAUGUACAUCAUUUGUGCUAAACAUUAGCACACAAUGUUGAUGCUACUAUGCAACCACAAAUUAAAUCACUGGACACCGAGGCCGGAAAGGAGCCAUAGUGGACCAAGCAGCCAAACUGGGACAGGUUGGAUGAUUUUACCCUUGAGUAAUCUAAGCAGCACCUCGGACAGGGGGAUGAACCGACAUCCUCCCCCUCUGCACACUAUCCUCUCUUCACUAUCACACCCGAACCAUCGUCUUCCUCGACACCUGCAGCACCUCGGCUUACCAUGGUGAUAGCCUGCACAAACCCCCUUCACGAAUCAGAUCAUAUCUAAUCAAGAAGAAGCAUAGGAG